AGAACGAACGCUGGCGGCAUGCCUAACACAUGCAAGUCGAACGAGACCUUCGGGUCUAGUGGCGCACGGGUGCGUAACGCGUGGGAAUCUGCCCUUGGGUUCGGAAUAACAGUUAGAAAUGACUGCUAAUACCGAAUAAUGACGUAAGUCCAAAGAUUUAUCGCCCAAGGAUGAGCCCGCGUAGGAUUAGCUUGUUGGUGAGGUAAAGGCUCACCAAGGCGACGAUCCUUAGCUGGUCCGAGAGGAUGAUCAGCCACACUGGGACUGAGACACGGCCCAGACUCCUACGGGAGGCAGCAGUGGGAAUAUUGGACAAUGGGGGAAACCCUGAUCCAGCAAUGCCGCGUGAGUGAUGAAGGCCUUAGGGUUGUAAAGCUCUUUUGCCAGGGAUGAUAAUGACAGUACCUGGAGAAUAAGCUCCGGCUAACUCCGUGCCAGCAGCCGC
RNAcentral lists this ribosomal RNA (445 nucleotides) under uncultured bacterium. RNAcentral's name for it is "SSU rRNA". It matches the Rfam family "Bacterial small subunit ribosomal RNA", at positions 26 to 518 of the family's 1533-position model. The record is from RNAcentral.